AGGAGAGGCAUGUCCCUACCACCAGUCACUCAAACACCAGAAAAGCAUUUGAACAUUGUACCCGGUGAAAUAUCAGAAUGGGAGAGUGAAAUAACUACCAGCAAAAUCACUGAAACACAGAAUAAGAAUUUUCCUGAGGCCUUGAGCAAGCUCAUUCCGUCAUCUGAAAAAAAAAUGUCCAUAAUAUCUACAGAAAGGAGAGGAUUGCUUUGAAGAGGAAAUGCUGUAAUGUAGAAAUUCUUUGAAACAUUAAACAGGGCAAUACAAAGGCAUUAAGAUACACUUUCUCCAAUUUUUAGUCCUGAAAAUGUGCCUCGUUUCUAAAACAAAGGACAAAUGAAAAUAGAAAAAUUGGAUCUGGUGUAAAUUUC
RNAcentral lists this long non-coding RNA (371 nucleotides) under Ictidomys tridecemlineatus (thirteen-lined ground squirrel). Its description in RNAcentral is "lncRNA (ENSSTOG00000032834.1)". The record is from RNAcentral. Lineage: Eukaryota; Metazoa; Chordata; Mammalia; Rodentia; Sciuridae.